AGCAGCACACUGCACUGUUUACAUCACAAAACUACAGAGCAGCCGCAUGAAGCUGCACGCCUGCGAGAAAGAAAAGGAUUUCAAGGUAAAGAAGACAGACCAGAGAUGACUGAUGAUGUGGAAAUGAGAAGUCAGCUGCUGCACAAUGAGCUGAAGGCUGUGAGCUUCUUAAGUGACUCCACCACAGCUGGGGUUAACAACAACAACAACAACAACAACAACACAUCUGUGAAAAUGCAGGCUAGCUGUGAUAUCCAAGUGGAAACCAGUGAAGACACAAAUAACCAAAGUCACAAGGAUGUGGAUGAUUCAUGCCACACGUCCAAAUUGCCCCGAGGCUGGAUCAGAGAGGUUAGGCAGCGGAAAACAGGCAAGACAGCCGGGAAAAUGGAUGUCUACAUUACAAGUCCCGAAGGGCAGAGGUUCCGCUCAAGAGCAUCCCUGCAUGCUUUCCUCUUAAAAGAUGAAGAAGGGAACUUGGACAUAAACCUCUUUGAUUUCACUGCAUCCAAGGACGAUGUUGACACCACCUCCCAAGUGAAACAGAGGAGAAGAAAGAAAAGACAUGCACUUGAACAGCAAGAAACAAAAGAAAUACUGGAUCCACCUUCAAAUAAAUCUAAAAGAACCUCUUCCUCUCUCAAAAGUGAAAGUGAAGACAGUAAAUUAAAGAGUGCAGCUGUGAAGUGUUGUAAACAAGCUGCACCUUCAACCACAGAGGAUGAUGUCACAGUGAAGAAGAGCCCUCAGAGGGCGGGUCAGCUGAGAGAGAAGCUGCUCAGAUUUGCUCCUUCUAGUAACCAACAAAACACUCUCAUGGUUCACAAGGAUGGAGAUGCAGACUCGCAGCCUUCUGUCCCGACUGUGAAUGUUGAAACUGCCACCGAGAGCGAGAACGAGGGCGAGGAGGAACGAGGGGGAGACGAGACACACAUUCACAGCAAAGGUGACAACAAGUCUAAUUCUGAAGUGGAAGCUGAGGCUGACGGUCCCCAGAGUGGAGAACAGAAGGGGCUGUUAGCAGGCAUCACUGGUGGCAGCUGCACACCAGUGAGAGAUUCCCAGAAUAAGUCCAAGACCGUGGAAGACAAGCGGAAAACAAGCCCUUAUUUCAGAAGAAAAGCCCCUGAAGAUGCUCUGAGUCCACCGAGAAGGAAGGCCUUCAGGAAGUGGACCCCCCCUCGCUCUCCCUACAACCUGGUACAGGAAACCCUGUUCCACGACCCCUGGAAGCUCCUGGUGGCCACCAUCUUUCUGAAUAAGACCAGUGGCAAGAUGGCCAUCCCAGUUCUGUGGAAGUUCUUUGAUCGCUACCCAACUGCCGAGGCGACCCGCGAGGCCGACUGGAAACCGCUCUCUGAACUUAUGAAGCCACUGGGCCUCUAUGAGCUCAGAGCCAAAACGCUCAUCCGCUUCUCAGAUGAAUAUCUAAGGAAACAGUGGCGUUACCCCAUCGAGCUGCAUGGUAUUGGAAAGUACGGGAACGACUCCUACAGGAUCUUCUGUGUGGGCGAGUGGAGAGAGGUAAAACCUGAAGAUCACAUGUUGAACAAAUAUCACGAAUGGCUGUGGGAGAACCAUGAAACACUUGGAAUUUGAAACAAAGUCUGAGGAACUGCAAGCAAGAUUUUCUUUGGCGUGGACUAGAAAAUCAGUUACAUCACAUUAAAAAUGUUACCUAAAAAUAUUGGUAUUAAUGAAUUUACAAUGUUGAACCUGAAAUCCCUGUAAAAUUAUGCAAUGAUAUGAAGUUAACCUUUUAAAAAAAGUUUUACUUAAUAUAUAAUAAAAUGUUUUAAGUUGUUUAAAAGUUAAAAUGAUUCAUGAGUGCAUUAUUCAGGCUGUCUGUCUGUCUUCUGACUGGUUGUCUUGUUACCUGUCUUUAUAUGUAGAUGAGAAUCUGAGACAUCUUCUGCUUAGUUCAUUGUCACAGGCUAAUAAUCUUUCUUUGUGAGAGCACCGAUGCAUGACCGUACAUUCAACGCAGCAGCUUUCUUUUUGUCGGGGGUAACCUGAUUCCCAAGGCAACUGUUGCCACCGCAAAACACUCAGUGAAUGCACAGGCAUGUCAGUUUAAUCUCUAACUAGUGCCAGUACAGUAAUUUGCUAUAUUGACAUUUAGAUUUGUGUUAUGAUUUACCUAAAAAAAUCAGAAUCACAGCUUUUAGAAGAGAAUUAAAUCGUCCAGGAUUUGACACUUCAACAAAGACUUCUCUGGUGGGGAACAGAAGAACAGCUUGAACUCCAAAAUGAGACUACCAGCCAUCUCUAUAGCUGCCACACCAGUCUGCAUUCCUCAUGACACACUUCCUGUCCGGCCGAGUCGCUGCCUGGUGUUCACUCCCAUGAUGUUUCCCAGAAUCUCAGACUCUGCCCGCCUGUUGACCAGCAGUCAGAGUAUUCCGAGACUGAACCCUUUACAUCCACCUUUGGUCCAUAAACGCACCGUCAGUCUGGAGACGCCAGCUGUGCACCACCACAACCACCAGAGGACAGUGAUCAUGCAGAGGAGAGAGUACCA
Molecule: RNA transcript, 2521 nt
Organism: Centropristis striata (black sea bass)
Lineage: Eukaryota; Metazoa; Chordata; Actinopteri; Perciformes; Serranidae
Gene: mbd4
Gene name: methyl-CpG binding domain protein 4
Exons: 10
Source: RefSeq, a predicted model, not a curated record